RNAcentral lists this ribosomal RNA (445 nucleotides) under uncultured bacterium. RNAcentral describes it as "bacterial SSU rRNA". It matches the Rfam family "Bacterial small subunit ribosomal RNA", at positions 28 to 456 of the family's 1533-position model. The record is from RNAcentral.
GAUGAACGCUGGCGGCGUGCUUAACACAUGCAAGUCGAACGGGAAUUAUUUUAUUGAAACUUCGGUCGAUUUAAUUUAAUUCUAGUGGCGGACGGGUGAGUAACGCGUGGGUAACCUGCCUUAUACAGGGGAAUAACAGUCAGAAAUGGCUGCUAAUACCGCAUAAGCGCACAGAGCUGCAUGGCUCAGUGUGAAAAACUCCGGUGGUAUAAGAUGGACCCGCGUUGGAUUAGCUUGUUGGUGGGGUAACGGCCCACCAAGGCGACGAUCCAUAGCCGGCCUGAGAGGGUGAACGGCCACAUUGGGACUGAGACACGGCCCAGACUCCUACGGGAGGCAGCAGUGGGGAAUAUUGCACAAUGGGGGAAACCCUGAUGCAGCGACGCCGCGUGAAGGAAGAAGUAUCUCGGUAUGUAAACUUCUAUCAGCAGGGAAGAUAGUGACG